AUUGUACUAUAUGUAUUACUAUUUAGGAAAUAUGUAAUUUGCAUUCCCUUAUGAAUAACUGUAAUUGAUAAAGAUAUUUGUAUUAGCAUUGUUCAAAUCAAAAUCUAUAGGUUUUUGUGAUUUCAAGAAUUAUAAACAACAAGCCUUUAUCUACUCAUUUAAACAUUAAUGAAUAUAUCUACUCGCACAUUUCGGAAGUAGCUGUAAUUUUUUCAAAAAAAUAAAUAUUGUGUUUUCUUGAUACAUGUAUCUCACAGUUGAAACGCACUAUAUCAAAACAGACUGUAAAGCAUCUAUAUUAUUCGAAUGGGUUAAGCAUGCUGUUUCACAUGUUAUAUUGCUUUUCAAAACAUAACAGGAGAUAGUUGCACAUUGAUAUACAACUCUCAACACUGUAUUUUGCUUGCAAAAGGUUCAGCAGACCUAAUCGCGGUGGCAAAUCACGUGACUUUGGCAUGACUUGUUACCCGGAAAAAUUAAACACAAGGAAACAUUCAAACGAAUAAGUAACACCUUCAUCAAUAACGAAUUGUCACAUCACUUAUAUCAACAUUUGAAAGAUUUUCUCAGGAACAAAUCUAUACUACAAUGGUAGUUCUAGGUGUGACCGAAGCACAUAACAAUGACAGUUUUUUUGGUAGUCGGAAAGUUUUUGACUGAAAACAACAAAACUGUGUCAAUGUUCUCUGUUAUUUCUACGGUAUGUAGAACAACCAAAUUAGUAUAGAUUUGUUCCUGCAAAAAUCCUUCAAAUGUUGAUAUAAGUUAUGUGAAAAUUCGUGAUUGAUUCCUUACUCGUUUGAAAUUUCCCUUGUGUUGACGUUCGUCGCCAUUUUCCGGGUAAUAGAUCAUGCCAUAGUCACGUGAUUCGCAACUGUUCUAAUUAAGGUAGUUCAUUAUACAUCUUGAAAGACUUUAUCAAAUCAGCAAGACAUGAUAUGAAUGAUAAGUACAUAUGUUAGAAAGGGGGGAAAUGCAGUUUUGGAGAAAAAUACACAAUUCUCAAAACUUUAUUGAAAAUGAAUAGAUACGAGACAUUCGUGGUAAGUAAAUAGAGAAUAUUAAAUGCUAAAAUCCAGUCAUAUCAGUCCGAGUGGCCCCUUGUCAGCCCAAGUGGUCCCAUGUCAGCCCAAGUGGCCCAUAUCAGCCCGAGUGGCCCCUUGUCAGCCCAAGUGGCCCAUAUCAGUCUGAGUGGCCCAUUGUCAGCCCGAGAGCCGAUAUGGGGCCCGAGGGCUGAUAUGCUAUAUGAUUUGGAUUUUAGCAUGUAAUAUUCUAUUUAUCAUAUACUGAUUUUUUUUAAUGCUUAGAUAUUGUGUACGAACGGUAUACUGUUUAUGAUGUGUGCAUGUUUUUUAAUUUGAUACGGAGUCCGGGAACUAAUCUUCUAAAAUUACAUUUUUUUUUAUCACAUGCUGUUUACGUUUUUACAUUUUUAUGACAAUUAAAAACCUCUCAAGCAUUGAUUUACCACAGUAAACACUUUGAUUUCUCAUGAUAAAAACUUUGAUACAUCGAUUGUUACGAGCGAAUACGUAUUUUCCGGCUUGAUAUGCAUCUUUGCACGCCAGUUUGAUAUGCGAUAUGGAUUUUCCGACCGGUCUUGGACCAAUUUCAGUUAUUGUGACGUCAUCCACAUCGCGCGGUGCAGAAUCGGCAUAAUCAUUACCAAGUAUAUGAUAAAUAGAGAAUAACGCAUACCCAUUUCCAUAUCACACCCUGUAUCAGCCCGAGACACCAAUAUCAGCCAGAGGACCGAAGGCCCGGGGGCUGAUAUUGGUCGAGGGCUGAUACAGGAUGUGGUAUGGAAAUGGGUAUGUUUUAUUGUGUUUAUUACAUACUUAGUAAUAACAUACAAAACAUGUCGACUUGAACAAAUAAAACGUAAUGAACAUUGACAAGAACUCAUAUCUCUCAUAUCUUUGUUAUAAUAUCUAUGUUCAGAUUUUUGUCUGAAAAAUAACGAUUUACACUCCCUUGAAUUUACUUCAGUGUAUCAGGUUCAUAUUCCUCCCCAAUUGCAUGAUUUCUUUACAUUCAUAACAUAUCUCGCAAGAUGCAUAUCUAAUUCCGAGACCGGGAUUUCCUUUGGUUUUCUCCAUUUGUUACUCUUCCUUAGGUAAGUAGUACAUUUCCUUAAAUCCGAAUCAGUUUUCCUACUUGUGUUUGCAUUUUUAGUUCCUUAUCAAAGUCAAAGUACAUUUAUCCCCAGUAUCUUUAAGGUCAUUCUGUGUGUCGGUCCCUGUGUCAGUAGGCGCUGGCACAAUUUUAAGGACGUGGGUCUGUGGGUUGCACCGAUUCUAAAUCCAUCGUGAUACAGUAAGAAUUUUCACCAACAUCAGCGGUAUUUAAUCCACACAUAUAUUAUAUAGAGUUCGAUUAAUCUGUUUACCAACGAAUCAAAAGUCUUUUCUCUUCCUUCAUGUUCGUUCAUAUUCAUGUUGUUUAUAUUCGUCUGCAAAAUAUUGAAGCGGGAAAAACCCAGAGGAGUUCCGGAUAGAGGGGUUCCGCAAGGGGGUCUGAUACGGAUCUGUAGGGCUGAUACCAAUAUCAGCCCCGGGGGCUGAUACGGCUUUUGUAAAGUAGGCUGUAUUGCAUAUGCAAAAAACCUGUAUUUAUUACUAAGUAUGUAAUAAAUAAGAAAAAUAAUUAGGGAUGUCAACGAGUACUUAACUGCCGCUCGGUCAUACCGAUCAUCGACUAAAUUUUUCAUAGUCGAGUACUCGUAAAAAAUAGCUUUUUUAACGCAAUGUUCUCAUCAAUUCUAAACGCUUCAGUGUUUUUGUAAGUAAAAAUCAUGUCAAUGCUAGAGAAAAUUAACUUUUUUAACUUUGAAAUACAGAUUAAAGUUUACUCAUCAGGCAAAAAAUCUCCAAUAACUUUAACACCAUGUUGACACCAAUUCUCCUUCAAAAUAAUACAUUAAUCAUCAAUAUUUAUGUUGAACAUUAAACCAUGAUUCUGCACGCUGACAGGAUGUGUUCCCGAUAUCUACAAGAACUCAUUGGCAUGUAUUCCCCAGUUCGACCACUAAGAUCUGAAACAUCACUGAGACGGUGCCAAAAAUUCCCACAAAGUCUUUUGGAGAACGCACGUUUAGCAGGGCUGCAGCCAGUUUGUGGAAUAACCUUCCGCAAUAUAUUAAAGCUGCAAAAAACAUUAACGUUUAAAAAAAAACCCUGUUAAAAACCCACUUUUUAAAAAUUGCUUUCCCAGAUUUUUAAGCCUCUUACAUAGUAGAAGUUUUUGUCAAUGACCGUUUUUAAUGGAAAUUUCUAAAUCUUAAUUAAUGUUUUAUUUCGUUGAUUUCUAAUACUUUGCAAAGUGUUCGACAUAUUUUUUUUUUGCCCUUGUAAAGCGCCUUAGAGUAAUUUGUUUUAUAUAAGGCGCUAUAUAAAUUUUAUUAUUAUUAUGAUUGAUAAAGAUCUUAACUCAAGAUUCAUACACCUUAUAAGUGUUAUAGGUAAUUUAAGCUGUAGAUAUAUCGAUUAUCGAUACACUAGAAAUUACAUGAGAGAGAGAGAGAGAGAGAGAGAGAGAGAGAGAGAGAGAGAGAGAGAGAGAGAGAGCUAUAAAUUCCAAACAUUGAUGCCUGACGUUUUUCUACGUACGUGUAUUUCUUUUCUUUUUUGUGUGUGUAUCUUAUUCCAUCUGUGCAGUUUCUUUGUUCUGGUAAUUAUUCAAAUAUAUUCAGUUUUAUUUUAGUUUUUCAUUUCAUGUUGUAAAUCUGCUUGAUAAUUAAUGCUUUUGUGUGAACAUAUUUUAAAUUUAGUGUAACUGAAUUCAUAAAGGGAUUGAGCACAAGUUUUUAAAACUUACAACGCUCUCUCCCACAUUCAUGUUCAUGUGUUAUAAUGUAUUUCAAUGUGCAUGGUAAAACAGUCAUUGUAAAUAUUAAUCUAGCGCAUCUUGAUUGCUCAUAGAAAAAUAAAGUAAUAUUUACAACAUAUAUUGAUUAAUAACAACGAUCACUCUGUUUCAUAAAAUAUUGUAUGAUAGUAAACAAAAUUUUUCGUUUUCUUUAUUACUAAGGAAAUUUGUCACCCCAAAGAAGAACAUGUGCAUUGACAAUAUGCAAGUUGCUAAUUCCAAUUAUACCAUUAAAAAGAAUAUUUCUGGCUUUUUUAUACCUAGGACAUGUAAAAAGGUAAUGAUAUUCAUCGCCAAUGUUUCCGCAGGUACAACAAGGACUGUUAAUGAUGUUAAAACAGAAUUAAUCAUUGUUUAAUAUACACUUGUGCCUAAGCUUGUAUGAAUAAUGUUUAAACGACGGUUGCCACAUGCGACAUAAAGAGGAGUGAAUCUUUGUUCCCAGAUAUUUUCAUAAAGAUCCCAAAAGAUCCACUUCGUUUGAUUCCAACAGGCAACAACAAUUAUGUAAAUAAUUGCAUUUAUGUGUUGAAUGCUGUUUUUUGUAUGUAAAUGUUAGUAAGUUAAUACUAAUCCGCUGCAGGUCAGUGUUUAACUGCUGCUAUAGAUUUAGGAUGCACGUGAGUGUUUAACUGCUGCUAUAGAUUUAGGUUGCACGUGAGUGUUUAACUGCUGCUAUAGAUUUAGGAUGCAGGUCAGUGUUUAACUGCUGCUUAAAUUACAUUUAAGAUUGGUACAGGUAGUUAAAAAGGGUGUCUCUCUUGCUCUCAGUAUAUGCUUGUUUAUAGUAUGUAUAUAUUUGUAACAAAUUGUGCAAUACAGGUCAGUGUUUUAACUGCUUUAUUGUUUUCAUAGUUUAGUUGGUUUUUUGUUUAUUUCUGUAGUCUUUUGAUUUUUGUUAAGACAAGCUAGAUACAUUUUACUUGUCAAGUCAUUCUGGUUAAAAAAUUAAAUAUAAUGACUGCCUGCUGGUUCCAUCUACCUGAUAAUUUUUAUAUGUAUAUCAUAGUCAUAAUAUUUACAGUGUACAGUUAUGAACGCAAAGAAGAUUGCCAGGUCAGUGUUUAACUGCUGGUACAGUUAAAUAUGGUGAACAGUUAUUCAGUUUAUUUUCUUUAUUACAUAUUACAUAAACCAGAGAAGUAUUGAAUAUUCUGUGCACAACCUCACCUUGGAUGGCACAAUGUGAGUGCCAAAUUCUGUUUGACCGCUCACAUUUGGUGGCCUUUGUAUUUUUGAUGUGCCAUCCUUUUGCUGUAGACCUAAUCAAUUUUAUAAUUUUUGCAUAUAUUGUUCUUCCGUUAAUUUAGGGGAUCAGCAGAUUGAUAUGUCAUUAUGUAUUGUGUGAAGAGUUUUUGGUCUGAUCCCCUUAUUAUAUUAUGUAUAUAUUUUUCCUUAUUUGCGUCAUUUGAAUAAAUGACAUAUUUCAUCUCUACAUUGGUGUUGAUGUUAUUGAUCUAAACUCAGCAUAAACAGAGCUGCGGUGAGUUUGUGCAGCAUGAGGAAACAUAAAACAACAAUUAUGUAAAUAAUUGCAUUUAUGUGUUGAAUGCUGUUUUUUGUAUGUAAAUGUUAGUAAGUUAAUAUACUUUUCGAAUUGUUUGUAACUCUGUGGCUUUGAUUUUUCUUUAUAUGUAAUGUUACUGGUCUUCUCCCAGGCCUUGCAGGUGUCAGGUGCCAUAUUAUGUAAUUUUUCCCAGUUCUGCAGUUGCGGCAGACUUGUUACGCAAUUCCGAAAUUUUCCAUGGCCAAAUCUUACCCCCUUGUCUGAUAACAACCAAUCAAAAUUUAUUAUCGUUGUCACGUGUUUUGAUGCUGUCGGUACAUGUAACUGACCAGUCAGUCUUGGGUCAUUCUCGCUUCAUCGAAGCUAUUGAUAGCAUCAAAAAAUUUGGCACACCCACCACCACCCCAUCUUUUCCUACCUUACUUGCAUUGAUAUGUUUUAAGAUAUGUUACGGCCUUUGUAUUUUUGAUAUGCCAUCUUUUUGCUGUAGACCUAAUCAAUUUUAUAAUUUUUGCAUAUAUUGUUCUUCCGUAAAUUUAGGGGAUCAGCAGAUUGAUAUGUCAUUAUGUAUUGUGUGAAUAGUUUUUGGUCUGAUCCCCUUAUUAUAUUAUGUAUAUAUUUUUCCUUAUUUGCGUCAUUUGAAUAAAUGACAUAUUUCAUCUCCACAUUGGUGUUGAUGUCAUUGAUCUAAACUCAGCAUAAACGGAGCUGUGGUGAUUUUGUGCAGCAUGGGGAAACAUAAAAGGGAAUUUACUCCUUUAUUACAGUUGAAAGAAGCGACUUGUAUGAGGCAGCAAAUUGGAACACAGUCAAGGCCAAAGGGAAAUAUCAUACACGAGGAUGGGGAAAUUGUACAGGACAAACAAGAAGCGGAAAAACAUUCAAAUUUCCUACCAGACCAAACGGAAAUGUCAUAUAUUGUGCAAAUGGGAUAAAAAUAGAAGCUGAAUCCCCUCCCCCCUACACAAACAUACACACACCGAGACCAAACGGAAAUGGCAUAUACAAGGAUGCGGACAUUGUGCCGAUUGUACAAAAUAAAAGAUGUAACAUA
This is a long non-coding RNA of Ostrea edulis (European flat oyster), 6428 nucleotides long. RefSeq lists it as uncharacterized. The record is from RefSeq and is a predicted model, not a curated record. Lineage: Eukaryota; Metazoa; Mollusca; Bivalvia; Ostreida; Ostreidae. The transcript is spliced from 2 exons.